Molecule: ribosomal RNA, 2902 nt
Filed under: Klebsiella pneumoniae
Lineage: Bacteria; Pseudomonadati; Pseudomonadota; Gammaproteobacteria; Enterobacterales; Enterobacteriaceae
Description: 23S ribosomal RNA
Rfam family: Bacterial large subunit ribosomal RNA
Source: RNAcentral
GGUUAAGCGACUAAGCGUACACGGUGGAUGCCCUGGCAGUCAGAGGCGAUGAAGGACGUGCUAAUCUGCGAAAAGCGUCGGUAAGGUGAUAUGAACCGUUAUAGCCGGCGAUGUCCGAAUGGGGAAACCCAGUGCAAUUCGUUGCACUAUCGUUAACUGAAUACAUAGGUUAACGAGGCGAACCGGGGGAACUGAAACAUCUAAGUACCCCGAGGAAAAGAAAUCAACCGAGAUUCCCCCAGUAGCGGCGAGCGAACGGGGAGCAGCCCAGAGUCUGAAUCAGCUUGUGUGUUAGUGGAACGGUCUGGAAAGUCCGACGGUACAGGGUGAUAGUCCCGUACACCAAAAUGCACAGGUUGUGAACUCGAAGAGUAGGGCGGGACACGUGGUAUCCUGUCUGAAUAUGGGGGGACCAUCCUCCAAGGCUAAAUACUCCUGACUGACCGAUAGUGAACCAGUACCGUGAGGGAAAGGCGAAAAGAACCCCGGCGAGGGGAGUGAAAAAGAACCUGAAACCGUGUACGUACAAGCAGUGGGAGCACCUUCGGGUGUGACUGCGUACCUUUUGUAUAAUGGGUCAGCGACUUAUAUUCUGUAGCAAGGUUAACCGUAUAGGGGAGCCGCAGGGAAACCGAGUCUUAACUGGGCGUUAAGUUGCAGGGUAUAGACCCGAAACCCGGUGAUCUAGCCAUGGGCAGGUUGAAGGUUGGGUAACACUAACUGGAGGACCGAACCGACUAAUGUUGAAAAAUUAGCGGAUGACUUGUGGCUGGGGGUGAAAGGCCAAUCAAACCGGGAGAUAGCUGGUUCUCCCCGAAAGCUAUUUAGGUAGCGCCUCGUGAAUUCAUCUUCGGGGGUAGAGCACUGUUUCGGCUAGGGGGUCAUCCCGACUUACCAACCCGAUGCAAACUACGAAUACCGAAGAAUGUUAUCACGGGAGACACACGGCGGGUGCUAACGUCCGUCGUGAAGAGGGAAACAACCCAGACCGCCAGCUAAGGUCCCAAAGUCAUGGUUAAGUGGGAAACGAUGUGGGAAGGCACAGACAGCCAGGAUGUUGGCUUAGAAGCAGCCAUCAUUUAAAGAAAGCGUAAUAGCUCACUGGUCGAGUCGGCCUGCGCGGAAGAUGUAACGGGGCUAAACCAUGCACCGAAGCUGCGGCAGCGACACUAUGUGUUGUUGGGUAGGGGAGCGUUCUGUAAGCCUGCGAAGGUGACCUGUGAGGGUUGCUGGAGGUAUCAGAAGUGCGAAUGCUGACAUAAGUAACGAUAAAGCGGGUGAAAAGCCCGCUCGCCGGAAGACCAAGGGUUCCUGUCCAACGUUAAUCGGGGCAGGGUGAGUCGACCCCUAAGGCGAGGCCGAAAGGCGUAGUCGAUGGGAAACAGGUUAAUAUUCCUGUACUUGGUGUUACUGCGAAGGGGGGACGGAGAAGGCUAUGUUAGCCGGGCGACGGUUGUCCCGGUUUAAGCAUGUAGGCUGGUUGUCCAGGCAAAUCCGGAUAAUCAAGGCUGAGGUGUGAUGACGAGGCACUACGGUGCUGAAGUAACAAAUGCCCUGCUUCCAGGAAAAGCCUCUAAGCAUCAGGUAACAUUAAAUCGUACCCCAAACCGACACAGGUGGUCAGGUAGAGAAUACCAAGGCGCUUGAGAGAACUCGGGUGAAGGAACUAGGCAAAAUGGUGCCGUAACUUCGGGAGAAGGCACGCUGGUGUGUAGGUGAAGUCCCUGCGGAUGGAGCUGAGACCAGUCGAAGAUACCAGCUGGCUGCAACUGUUUAUUAAAAACACAGCACUGUGCAAACACGAAAGUGGACGUAUACGGUGUGACGCCUGCCCGGUGCCGGAAGGUUAAUUGAUGGGGUUAUCCGUAAGGAGAAGCUCUUGAUCGAAGCCCCGGUAAACGGCGGCCGUAACUAUAACGGUCCUAAGGUAGCGAAAUUCCUUGUCGGGUAAGUUCCGACCUGCACGAAUGGCGUAAUGAUGGCCAGGCUGUCUCCACCCGAGACUCAGUGAAAUUGAACUCGCUGUGAAGAUGCAGUGUACCCGCGGCAAGACGGAAAGACCCCGUGAACCUUUACUAUAGCUUGACACUGAACAUUGAGCCUUGAUGUGUAGGAUAGGUGGGAGGCUUUGAAGCGUGGACGCCAGUCUGCGUGGAGCCAACCUUGAAAUACCACCCUUUAAUGUUUGAUGUUCUAACGUUGGCCCCUUACCGGGGUUGCGGACAGUGUCUGGUGGGUAGUUUGACUGGGGCGGUCUCCUCCCAAAGCGUAACGGAGGAGCACGAAGGUUAGCUAAUCCUGGUCGGACAUCAGGAGGUUAGUGCAAUGGCAUAAGCUAGCUUGACUGCGAGCGUGACGGCGCGAGCAGGUGCGAAAGCAGGUCAUAGUGAUCCGGUGGUUCUGAAUGGAAGGGCCAUCGCUCAACGGAUAAAAGGUACUCCGGGGAUAACAGGCUGAUACCGCCCAAGAGUUCAUAUCGACGGCGGUGUUUGGCACCUCGAUGUCGGCUCAUCACAUCCUGGGGCUGAAGUAGGUCCCAAGGGUAUGGCUGUUCGCCAUUUAAAGUGGUACGCGAGCUGGGUUUAGAACGUCGUGAGACAGUUCGGUCCCUAUCUGCCGUGGGCGCUGGAGAAUUGAGGGGGGCUGCUCCUAGUACGAGAGGACCGGAGUGGACGCAUCACUGGUGUUCGGGUUGUCAUGCCAAUGGCACUGCCCGGUAGCUAAAUGCGGAAGAGAUAAGUGCUGAAAGCAUCUAAGCACGAAACUUGCCCCGAGAUGAGUUCUCCCUGAGACUUUAAGUCUCCUGAAGGAACGUUGAAGACGACGACGUUGAUAGGCCGGGUGUGUAAGCGCAGCGAUGCGUUGAGCUAACCGGUACUAAUGAACCGUGAGGCUUAACCUU